AAUAUUGCGCAAGGGAGGGAACUCUGACGCAGCGACGUCGCGUGAGCGAAGAAGGUCCUCGGAUCGUAAAGCUCUGUCUUUGGGGACGUAAGAAAUGACUGUACCCAAUGAGGAAGCUCUGGCCAACUACGUUCCAGCAGCCGCGGUAACAAGUAGGGGGCAAGCGUUGUCCGGCAUUACUGGGCGUAAAGGGUGCGUAGGCGGCAUAUUAAGUCAGGUGUGAAACCCCACGGCUCAACUGUGGGCUUGCACAUGAAACUGGUAUGCGUGAGUACAGGAGAGGAAAGCGGAAUUCCUAGUGUAGUGGUGAAAUGCGUAGAUAUUAGGAAGAACACCAGUGACGAAGGCGGCUUUCUGGACUGUAACUGACGCUGAGGCACGAAAGCGUGGGGAGCAAACA
This 400-nucleotide ribosomal RNA is filed under the name uncultured bacterium. RNAcentral describes it as "partial 16S ribosomal RNA". It matches the Rfam family "Bacterial small subunit ribosomal RNA", at positions 360 to 774 of the family's 1533-position model. The record is from RNAcentral.